RNAcentral lists this long non-coding RNA (201 nucleotides) under Homo sapiens (human). Its description in RNAcentral is "HSALNT0291136". The record is from RNAcentral. Lineage: Eukaryota; Metazoa; Chordata; Mammalia; Primates; Hominidae.
GGUUGCUAUAGUUCUGGGAAGCUUUAUGGCCCCCAAAUGUAUACCUGCCACCAACAUCACCAACAUCUGUACCUCAGAGAAACUAAGGCCCUGGCUGGGAUUUUUUUCUCCUGUUUCGCAGACCCCCGUCUGAUGAGCUGAUGGGGUACCUUGUCUCUGUGAGAGAUGGGCUUUUGCCAUGUUGCCCAGGCUGGUCUCAAG